AUACUUACCUGGCACAGGAGAUACCGUGAUCACGAAGGCGGUUCUCCCAGGGCGAGGCUCACCAUUGCACUCCGGUGGCGCUGACCCCUGCGAUUAACCCAAAUGUGGUUAACUCGAGUGCGAAAUUUUUGGUAGCGGGGGACUGGUGGUUCGCGUAUCCCCCUU
This 165-nucleotide small nuclear RNA is filed under the name Penaeus japonicus. RNAcentral's name for it is "U1 spliceosomal RNA". It matches the Rfam family "U1 spliceosomal RNA". Rfam says of the family: U1 is a small nuclear RNA (snRNA) component of the spliceosome (involved in pre-mRNA splicing). Lineage: Eukaryota; Metazoa; Arthropoda; Malacostraca; Decapoda; Penaeidae. The record is from RNAcentral.